GAGGUAGUGACGAAAAAUAACGAUACGGGACUCAUCCGAGGCCCCGUAAUCGGAAUGAGUACACUUUAAAUCCUUUAACGAGGAUCAAUUGGAGGGCAAGUCUGGUGCCAGCAGCCGCGGUAAUUCCAGCUCCAAUAGCGUAUAUUAAAGUUGUUGCGGUUAAAAAGCUCGUAGUCGAAUUUGUGUCCCGCGCCGUCGGUUCGCCGCUCGCGGCGUUUAAUUGGCGUUUUGCGGGACGUCAUGCCGGUGGGCUUAGCUCCCCGUCGCGGUGCUCUUCGUUGAGUGUCGAGGCGGGCCGGCACGUUUACUUUGAACAAAUUAGAGUGCUUAAAGCAGGCUAAAAUAUUGCCUGGAUAUUGUGUGCAUGGAAUAAUAAAAUAGGAUCUCGGUUCUAUUUUGUUGGUUUUCGGAACUCCGAGGUAAUGAUUAAUAGGAACGGAUGGGGGCAUUCGUAUUGCGACGUUAGAGGUGAAAUUCUUGGAUCGUCGCAAGACGGACUAAAGCGAAAGCAUUUGCCAAAAACGCUUUCAUUGAUCAAGAACGAAAGUUAGAGGUUCGAAGGCGAUCAGAUACCGCCCUAGUUCUAACCAUAAACGAUGCCAGCCAGCGAUCCGCCGAAGUUCCUCCGAUGACUCGGCGGGCAGCUUCCGGGAAACCAAAGCUUUUGGGUUCCGGGGGAAGUAUGGUUGCAAAGCUGAAACUUAAAGGAAUUGACGGAAGGGCACCACCAGGAGUGGAGCCUGCGGCUUAAUUUGACUCAACACGGGAAACCUCACCAGGUCCGGACACCGGAAGGAUUGACAGAUUGAGAGC
This 813-nucleotide ribosomal RNA is filed under the name Cantharidae sp. KSH31. RNAcentral's name for it is "SSU rRNA". It matches the Rfam family "Eukaryotic small subunit ribosomal RNA", at positions 461 to 1255 of the family's 1831-position model. The record is from RNAcentral. Lineage: Eukaryota; Metazoa; Arthropoda; Insecta; Coleoptera; Cantharidae.